UUAUGGCUCAGGAUGAACGCUAGCGGCAGGCUUAACACAUGCAAGUCGAGGGGCAGCGCGAGGUAGCAAUACUUGGCGGCGACCGGCGAAAGGGUGCGUAACGCGUGAGCAACUUGCCCGUAUCUGGGACAUAAGCGGUGGAAACGCCGUCUAAUUUCCCAUAACAACAGAGGGCGCAUGACCUUUGUUGAAAGAUCCGUCGGAUACGGAUGGGCUCGCGAGACAUUAGCUAGUCGGCGUGGUAACGGCACACCGAGGCGACGAUGUCUAGGGGUUCUGAGGGGAAGGUCCCCCCACACUGGAACUGAGACACGGUCCAGACUCCUACGGGAGGCAGCAGUGAGGAAUAUUGGUCAAUGGGCGCAAGCCUGAACCAGCCAUGCCGCGUGAAGGAAUAAACGGCCCUAUGGGUCGUAAACUUCUUUUGUGGUGGAGCAAUAAGGCGUACGUGUACGUCGAUGAGAGUACAUCACGAAUAAGCAUCGGCUAACUCCGUGCCAGCCGCUGC
Molecule: ribosomal RNA, 508 nt
Filed under: uncultured bacterium
Lineage: Bacteria
Description: bacterial SSU rRNA
Rfam family: Bacterial small subunit ribosomal RNA
Source: RNAcentral